CCGGCGACCGGCGCACGGGUGAGUAACACGUAUGCAACCUGCCCUCUUCAGGGGGACAACCUUCCGAAAGGGAGGCUAAUCCCGCGUAUAUCGGUUUCGGGCAUCCGAGAUCGAGGAAAGAUUCAUCGGAAGAGGAUGGGCAUGCGGCGCAUUAGCUUGACGGCGGGGUAACGGCCCACCGUGGCGACGAUGCGUAGGGGUUCUGAGAGGAAGGUCCCCCACACUGGUACUGAGACACGGACCAGACUCCUACGGAAGGCAGCAG
This 265-nucleotide ribosomal RNA is filed under the name uncultured bacterium. RNAcentral's name for it is "partial 16S ribosomal RNA". It matches the Rfam family "Bacterial small subunit ribosomal RNA", at positions 88 to 354 of the family's 1533-position model. The record is from RNAcentral.